This 502-nucleotide ribosomal RNA is filed under the name uncultured bacterium. RNAcentral describes it as "partial 16S ribosomal RNA". It matches the Rfam family "Bacterial small subunit ribosomal RNA", at positions 28 to 507 of the family's 1533-position model. The record is from RNAcentral.
GACGAACGCUGGCGGCGUGCUUAACACAUGCAAGUCGAACGGUGAAGGGGUCUGCUUUUGUGGGCCCUGGAUGAGUGGCGAACGGGUGAGUAACACGUGAGUAACCUGCCCCCUUCUUCUGGAUAACCGCAUGAAAGUGUGGCUAAUACGGGAUAUUCUGGGUCUGUCGCAUGAUGGGUCUGGGAAAGAUUGCGCCUUUGGGUGUUUUUGGUGGGGGAUGGGCUCGCGGCCUAUCAGCUUGUUGGUGGGGUGAUGGCCUACCAAGGCGGGGACGGGUAGCCGGGCUGAGAGGGUGGACGGUCACACUGGGACUGGGACACGGCCCAGACUCCUACGGGAGGAAGCAGUGGGGAAUAUUGCACAAUGGGCGCAAGCCUGAUGCAGCGACGCCGCGUGAGGGAUGGAGGCCUUCGGGUUGUAAACCUCUUUCGCCAGUGAAGCAGGCCUGCUCCUUGUGGGUGGGUUGACGGUAGCUGGAUAAGAAGCGCCGGCUAACUACGUG